AGACGUCAGGAUCAUCGGAGGAAAGGC
This 27-nucleotide small RNA is filed under the name Bombyx mori (domestic silkworm). RNAcentral's name for it is "ovarian small RNA-4496". The record is from RNAcentral. Lineage: Eukaryota; Metazoa; Arthropoda; Insecta; Lepidoptera; Bombycidae.